UUGAACGCUGGCGGCAUGCCUUACACAUGCAAGUCGAACGGCAGCACGGGUGCUUGCACCUGGUGGCGAGUGGCGAACGGGUGAGUAAUACAUCGGAACAUGUCCUGUAGUGGGGGAUAGCCCGGCGAAAGCCGGAUUAAUACCGCAUACGAUCUACGGAUGAAAGCGGGGGGCCUUCGGGCCUCGCGCUAUAGGGUUGGCCGAUGGCUGAUUAGCUAGUUGGUGGGGUAAAGGCCUACCAAGGCGACGAUCAGUAGCUGGUCUGAGAGGACGACCAGCCACACUGGGACUGAGACACGGCCCAGACUCCUACGGGAGGCAGCAGUGGGGAAUUUUGGACAAUGGGCGAAAGCCUGAUCCAGCAAUGCCGCGUGUGUGAAGAAGGCCUUCGGGUUGUAAAGCACUUUUGUCCGGAAAGAAAUCCUUGGCCCUAAUACGGUCGGGGGAUGACGGUACCGGAAGAAUAAGCACCGGCUAACUACGUG
Molecule: ribosomal RNA, 485 nt
Filed under: uncultured bacterium
Lineage: Bacteria
Description: partial 16S ribosomal RNA
Rfam family: Bacterial small subunit ribosomal RNA
Source: RNAcentral